Paramuricea clavata is the source of this 171-nucleotide non-coding RNA. Lineage: Eukaryota; Metazoa; Cnidaria; Anthozoa; Malacalcyonacea; Plexauridae. The record is from the annotation of a GenBank genome assembly.
AUGAUGGUAGUUGUACCAUCAUCAUCAUCACAUUAACUACCAUCAUCACGAUGGUAGUUAAUGUGAUGAUGAUGGUACAACUACCAUGUUGGUAGUUGUACCAUCAUCAUCAUCACAUUAACUACCAUCAUCACGUAGUUAAUGUGAUGAUGAUGGUACAACUACCAUGUA